GGGUUGUGAGGUUAAGCGACUAAGCGUACACGGUGGAUGCCCUGGCAGUCAGAGGCGAUGAAGGGCGUGCUAAUCUGCGAUAAGCGCCGGUAAGGUGAUAUGAACCGUUAUAACCGGCGAUACCCGAAUGGGGAAACCCAGUGUGACUCGUCACACUAUCAUUAACUGAAUCCAUAGGUUAAUGAGGCGAACCGGGGGAACUGAAACAUCUAAGUACCCCGAGGAAAAGAAAUCAACCGAGAUUCCCCCAGUAGCGGCGAGCGAACGGGGAGGAGCCCAGAGCCUGAAUCAGCAUGUGUGUUAGUGGAAGCGUCUGGAAAGGCGCGCGAUACAGGGUGACAGCCCCGUACACAAAAGCGCAUGUGCUGUGAGCUCGAUGAGUAGGGCGGGACACGUGGUAUCCUGUCUGAAUAUGGGGGGACCAUCCUCCAAGGCUAAAUACUCCUGACUGACCGAUAGUGAACCAGUACCGUGAGGGAAAGGCGAAAAGAACCCCGGCGAGGGGAGUGAAAAAGAACCUGAAACCGUGUACGUACAAGCAGUGGGAGCACAGGUUUACCUGUGUGACUGCGUACCUUUUGUAUAAUGGGUCAGCGACUUAUAUUCUGUAGCAAGGUUAACCGAAUAGGGGAGCCGGAGGGAAACCGAGUCUUAAUUGGGCGUUAAGUUGCAGGGUAUAGACCCGAAACCCGGUGAUCUAGCCAUGGGCAGGUUGAAGGUUGGGUAACACUAACUGGAGGACCGAACCGACUAAUGUUGAAAAAUUAGCGGAUGACCUGUGGCUGGGGGUGAAAGGCCAAUCAAACCGGGAGAUAGCUGGUUCUCCCCGAAAGCUAUUUAGGUAGCGCCUCGUGAAUUCAUCUCCGGGGGUAGAGCACUGUUUCGGCUAGGGGGCCAUCCCGGCUUACCAACCCGAUGCAAACUGCGAAUACCGGAGAAUGUUAUCACGGGAGACACACGGCGGGUGCUAACGUCCGUCGUGAAGAGGGAAACAACCCAGACCGCCAGCUAAGGUCCCAAAGUCAUGGUUAAGUGGGAAACGAUGUGGGAAGGCCCAGACAGCCAGGAUGUUGGCUUAGAAGCAGCCAUCAUUUAAAGAAAGCGUAAUAGCUCACUGGUCGAGUCGGCCUGCGCGGAAGAUGUAACGGGGCUAAACCAUGCACCGAAGCUGCGGCAGC
RNAcentral lists this ribosomal RNA (1178 nucleotides) under Salmonella enterica subsp. enterica serovar Enteritidis. RNAcentral's name for it is "partial 23S ribosomal RNA". It matches the Rfam family "Bacterial large subunit ribosomal RNA", at positions 1 to 1209 of the family's 2925-position model. Lineage: Bacteria; Pseudomonadati; Pseudomonadota; Gammaproteobacteria; Enterobacterales; Enterobacteriaceae. The record is from RNAcentral. RNAcentral also lists the same sequence under 1 other name.